UUCCUACGGGAGGCAGCAGUGGGGAAUAUUGCACAAUGGGCGAAAGCCUGAUGCAGCGACGCCGCGUGGGGGAUGACGGUCUUCGGAUUGUAAACCCCUUUCAGUAGGGACGAAGCGCAAGUGACGGUACCUGCAGAAGAAGCACCGGCUAACUACGUGCCAGCAGCCGCGGUAAUACGUAGGGUGCGAGCGUUGUCCGGAAUUACUGGGCGUAAAGAGCUCGUAGGCGGUUUGUCACGUCGUCUGUGAAAUCCCUCGGCUUAACCGGGGGCGUGCAGGCGAUACGGGCAGACUUGAGUACUACAGGGGAGACUGGAAUUCCUGGUGUAGCGGUGAAAUGCGCAGAUAUCAGGAGGAACACCGGUGGCGAAGGCGGGUCUCUGGGUAGUAACUGACGCUGAGGAGCGAAAGCAUGGGUAGCGAACAGGAUUAGAUACCCCGGUAGUCC
This 448-nucleotide ribosomal RNA is filed under the name uncultured Dietzia sp. RNAcentral describes it as "bacterial SSU rRNA". It matches the Rfam family "Bacterial small subunit ribosomal RNA", at positions 336 to 796 of the family's 1533-position model. The record is from RNAcentral. Lineage: Bacteria; Bacillati; Actinomycetota; Actinomycetes; Mycobacteriales; Dietziaceae.